This 381-nucleotide ribosomal RNA is filed under the name uncultured eukaryote. RNAcentral's name for it is "partial 18S ribosomal RNA". It matches the Rfam family "Eukaryotic small subunit ribosomal RNA", at positions 592 to 976 of the family's 1831-position model. The record is from RNAcentral.
CAAUAGCGUAUAUUAAAGUUGUUGCGGUAAAAAAGCUCGUAGUUGGAUUUCUACCGAAGAUAGCCGGUCGGGUCUUCGACCUUGUAUCUGGUUUUGUCUUUGGUAUCCUCAUAGGGAACGUUUCUGCGCUUUAUUGCGUGGUGCGGUAUCUAUGACUUUUACUUUGAGGAAAUUAGAGUGUUCGCGGCAGGCAAACGCCUUGAAUAUAUUAGCAUGGAAUAAUAACAUAGGAUCUUCGUCCUAUUUUGUUGGUUUCUAGGGCUAAGAUAAUGAUUAAUAGGGAUAAUUGGGGGCAUCUGUAUCAACGCGUCAGAGGUGGAAUUCUUGGAUUGCGUUGCGACAAACUACUGCGAAAGCAUUUGCCAAGGAUGUUUUCAUUGA